Molecule: long non-coding RNA, 957 nt
Organism: Micropterus salmoides (largemouth bass)
Lineage: Eukaryota; Metazoa; Chordata; Actinopteri; Centrarchiformes; Centrarchidae
Exons: 5
Source: RefSeq, a predicted model, not a curated record
UAAGACAGUAGAUAGAAUAAAUAUUAGAUAAUAUAAAUAUGAGAGUUUUCUUACAGCCUUAAUCUGUCAUUGUUUCGUUUCAGACAAUUUUGGAAGCCUGAAGUGGGUUCAUUUUAAGUUUCCAUAUGUUAAGAUAUGUUCAGUGUUGCUGCUGUGGAAGUGUUGUGGUUGACUUUUUAUUGAUGCAGGUCUAAUCAUUCUUUAAGAGGUUCUCUAGACCAUGCAACUUUUUAAGUUCCUACGUCAGGUUUUGGUAAAGAGUUGGAAGCCUUGUGCAGCUGAGAUCCAUUCCACGGAGUGAUACCAAUCUACACGUUCCAGACGUUUUUCCAGAGCUUUGUGGAUUCCCAGUCUAGGUGGCUGGGUGGCGAGCCAACCGUGUUUGUGACUCUGACUUUAGACGGAUUGCCAGGAUCUUCCUCAUCUUCAUGGUGGUAGGACAAACACUAACACAAACUUAAAAGGGCCCCAACGGUGAGAAAUGAACUCUUGUCAAUAAAGGCAAGUGGAACUAAGGACGAACUGAGCUCAACGAAGUUAAAAGGAAAGUUUUUUUUGUGCGCACUUUAUUAUUUUAGUUUGUUAUUUUUCAUACCUGCUUUCUUAUGUAUGUACCAUCCCUGUGUAUUUAAUACACUUAAUGCAAACUGUCAUUCGGGUGUGGUAUUCUUUUUAUUGACAUUCAAUUCUCAGGCUCUUAACAAUUUAGUGACUUCUGAUUCUGGUCCACAUUGAUGAUAAGACUACUUUAGACUAUUACACCUAUGUACAUUAUUACUACCUCGUGAUAAGGGUUACACCAUUCUUUCUCACCCUUCUCUGUCCUUUUUACUUGUGUCCUGUUUUUCAGGGUCCCAUCAUAAUUUCUUAAGAAGCUGCCAUGUUAAAAAAAAUAUUUUGUGCCGCCAUGCUGUUUGUUGAUGUGGUAAAUAAAUAGUUUAUGAAAAUACCACUAAA